AUUGAACGCUGGCGGCAUGCCUUACACAUGCAAGUCGAACGGCAGCACGGGUGCUUGCACCUGGUGGCGAGUGGCGGACGGGUGAGUAAUACAUCGGAACAUGUCCUGUCGUGGGGGAUAGCCCGGCGAAAGCCGGAUUAAUACAGCAUCCGAUCUACGGAUGAAAGCGGGGGACCUUCGGGCCUCGCGCUUUGGGGUUGGCCGGUGGCGGUUUCGGUCGUUGGGGGGGUAAAGGCCUACCAAGGCGACGAACAGUAUCUGGUCUGAGAGGACGACCAGCCACACUGGGACUGAGACACGGCCCAGACUCCUACGGGAGGCAGCAGUGGGGAAUUUUGGAGAAUGGGCGAAAGCCUGAUCCAGCAAUGCCGCGUGUGGGAAGAAGGCCUUCGGGUUGUAAAGCACUUUUGUCCGGAAAGAAAUCCUUGGCCCUAAUACGGUCGGGGGAUGACGGUACCGGAAGAAUAAGCACCGGCUAACUACGUG
Molecule: ribosomal RNA, 486 nt
Filed under: uncultured bacterium
Lineage: Bacteria
Description: partial 16S ribosomal RNA
Rfam family: Bacterial small subunit ribosomal RNA
Source: RNAcentral